This 570-nucleotide ribosomal RNA is filed under the name Tuber sp. 70. RNAcentral describes it as "eukaryotic LSU rRNA". It matches the Rfam family "Eukaryotic large subunit ribosomal RNA", at positions 56 to 643 of the family's 3401-position model. The record is from RNAcentral. Lineage: Eukaryota; Fungi; Ascomycota; Pezizomycetes; Pezizales; Tuberaceae.
GAAAAGAAACCAACAGGGAUUGCCUCAGUAACGGCGAGUGAAGCGGCAAAAGCUCAAAUUUGAAAUCUGUCAUCUCUGGUGGCCGAGUUGUAAUUUGGAGAGGCAUCUUCUGGAGGGGCCCAGCCUAUGUUCCUUGGAACAGGACAUCAUAGAGGGUGAGAAUCCCGUACUUGGCUGGAUGUUCCUCCUGUAAGUAGUGUCUUCUACGAGUCGAGUUGUUUGGGAAUGCAGCUCAAAAUGGGUGGUAAAUUUCAUCUAAAGCUAAAUAUUGGCGAGAGACCGAUAGCGCACAAGUAGAGUGAUCGAAAGAUGAAAAGCACUUUGAAAAUAGAGUCAAACAGUACGUGAAAUUGUUGAAAGGGAAGCGCUUGAGACCAGACUCAGCCUUGGCCAAACAGCUGUCCUUCUGGGCGGUGCACUUGGUCUCGGCUGGGCUAGCAUCAGUUGGUGUGAUAGGAUAAAGGCUUUGGAAAUGUGACUCCUUUGGGGAGUGUUAUAGUCCAAGGUGUCAUGCUGUCAACUCCGACUGUGGACCGCGCUUUUGCUAGGAUGCUGGCAUAAUGGUCUUCA